RNAcentral lists this ribosomal RNA (465 nucleotides) under uncultured Geothermobacter sp. RNAcentral's name for it is "bacterial SSU rRNA". It matches the Rfam family "Bacterial small subunit ribosomal RNA", at positions 920 to 1382 of the family's 1533-position model. The record is from RNAcentral. Lineage: Bacteria; Pseudomonadati; Thermodesulfobacteriota; Desulfuromonadia; Desulfuromonadales; Geothermobacteraceae.
CCCGGCACAAGCGGUGGAGCAUGUGGUUUAAUUCGACGCAACGCGCAGAACCUUACCUGGGCUUGACAUCCCGAUCGCAUCCCAUGGAAACAUGGGAGUCAGUUCGGCUGGAUCGGUGACAGGUGCUGCAUGGCUGUCGUCAGCUCGCGUCGUGAGAUGUUGGGUUAAGUCCCGCAACGAGCGCAACCCUCGACCUUAGUUGCCAGCAUUCAGUUGGGCACUCUAAGGUGACUGCCGGCUAAAAGUCGGAGGAAGGUGGGGAUGACGUCAAAUCAUCAUGCCCCUUAUGACCUGGGCUACACACGUGCUACAAUGGGCGGUACAAAGGGUCGCGAACCCGCGAGGUGGAGCAAAUCGCAGAAAAUCGUCCUCAGUUCGGAUUGGAGUCUGAAACCCGACUCCAUGAAGGUGGAAUCGCUAGUAAUCGCGCAUCAGCAUGGCGCGGUGAAUACGUUCCCGGGCCUU